RNAcentral lists this ribosomal RNA (275 nucleotides) under uncultured bacterium. RNAcentral's name for it is "partial 16S ribosomal RNA". It matches the Rfam family "Bacterial small subunit ribosomal RNA", at positions 399 to 691 of the family's 1533-position model. The record is from RNAcentral.
GCGUGAGUGAUGAAGGCCUUCGGGUUGUAAAGCUCUUUCGCACACGACGAUGAUGACGGUAGUGUGAGAAGAAGCCCCGGCUAACUUCGUGCCAGCAGCCGCGGUAAUACGAAGGGGGCUAGCGUUGUUCGGAAUUACUGGGCGUAAAGGGCGCGUAGGCGGCUUUGUCAGUCAGGCGUGAAAGCCCCGGGCUUAACCUGGGAACUGCGCUUGAUACUGCAAGGCUUGAGUACCGGAGAGGUAGGUGGAAUUCCCAGUGUAGAGGUGAAAUUCGU